Molecule: ribosomal RNA, 484 nt
Filed under: uncultured Cryomorphaceae bacterium
Lineage: Bacteria; Pseudomonadati; Bacteroidota; Flavobacteriia; Flavobacteriales; Cryomorphaceae
Description: bacterial SSU rRNA
Rfam family: Bacterial small subunit ribosomal RNA
Source: RNAcentral
GAUUAACGCUAGCGGUAGGCCUAACACAUGCAAGUCGAACGGUAACAGAGAGAGCUUGCUCUUUGCUGACGAGUGGCGAACGGGUGCGUAACACGUAUGCAACUUACCCUGUACUAAGGAAUAGCCCAGAGAAAUUUGGAUUAAUACCUUAUAAUAUCACGGAAUCUCAUGAUUCUGUGCUUAAAACUCCGGUGGUACAGGAUGGGCAUGCGGCCCAUUAGUUUGUUGGUGAGGUAACGGCUCACCAAGACUACGAUGGGUAGGGGGUCUGAGAGGAUGAUCCCCCACACUGGUACUGAGACACGGACCAGACUCCUACGGGAGGCAGCAGUGAGGAAUAUUGGUCAAUGGACGAAAGUCUGAACCAGCCAUACCGCGUGCAGGAAGACGGCCCUACGGGUUGUAAACUGCUUUUGUUUGCCAAGAAACCUCCCCACGUGUGGGGAGCUGACGGUAGCAUUCGAAUAAGGACCGGCUAACUCCG